GGCAGGUAUCUCACAGGUAAUGACUCAGGCUCUCUCUCCUGCCGUGGGCUUCAGCACAGGGGGUUACACACAGCAUAUAUUGCAGGGUCGCAGCCCCAACCUCAUCCGACUGUCUUCGGGCCGAUUGGAAAGAGCUGUUGUAGGCUAGUGGUAUAAACGUCGCUGCUGUGGCCCUUCAAUCCUCUCGGAAUCGUUGCGCCCCGGCUCACCCACCGCUUUGCUCCGUGGUGGGGCCGUAGUCUCAUACACUGGAGGCUCACAAUGCACUUUGGACAAGUAUUCCACAAUAACACACUGAAUCAAAUACUGAGUACUGACAAUGUUGAUGAUUGCUUUCCUUUGUUUACCUCCAUAGGACAGAUAAUUUCCUCUUCGCCCCGAUGUAUAUACACAUCUGCCGUUUCCUUCAGUACUCUCACGUUCCAGCAAACCGUAGAAUCCUAUCGUUACCAGCGUGACUUAGCCAAACUCUUCACUCGGUGACACCAGAGCGGUCCAACGACACAACACAGCUGCCCCGAACAACAAUGUACUCAACUGU
Paramisgurnus dabryanus is the source of this 541-nucleotide non-coding RNA. The record is from RefSeq and is a predicted model, not a curated record. NCBI's taxonomy places the organism in Eukaryota, Metazoa, Chordata, Actinopteri, Cypriniformes, Cobitidae.